CCCAUUGUUCAUAAACCCAGGACAAAUUAGCUAGCAACAGCAAGCUACCUACAUUUCCAUAAAUGUUUAAUGAUUUUUGACCUUGUGAACGCUGCGUGUAACACAUCCGGUGUUAGGAUAAAUAAAAAGCAAGGUCUGCUAACUUUCUUUAAUUAUGUUUAAUUAUCGCAAACAAUGAAUGGCAAAUGCAAUUUUCGUAUAUACGGGUUCGCUGUAUCACCGCGCAGGGUAAACAGGGAACUGGCAGGAAGUACGUAAACAGCUGUUCUUAUACCGUGAUGACGUAGUUUCAACGCGUCUGUUGGCCUAUCACAGUAGAGGCUGAACGCGGACUCUUGCUCUGCCUUUGGGGGCAGCCGACAAGUCCCUGAGUGCUUUCCUUUGUCCACAUCUGGUUGCUGGGUAGAUUAGCUCCGUCUUGUCUCCCCUUUGAAUCUUCACUCAAACAAUUCCUAAUAUGGUACUGAUCCGUCUCCCAACCUACCUGGUUGGCCUAGAGUGAUGCACCACUCCCCUCUCCAGACUGACCACAGCUUUUAUGGCCUGUGUUGGUCAGUCCUUACACACACACCCAUCUGUAUUGUUUGUGUGUGUGUAACAAAACAAUAUUCAUCUUCAAACAAUAUGCUAACAGGCUAUAGUGUGUAACGGAUGUGAAAUGGCUAGCUAGUUAGCGGCUACGCGCUAAUAGCAUUUCAAUCGGUUACAUCACUUGCUCUGAGACCUGAAGUAGGGUUUCCCCUUGCUCUGCAAGGGCAGCGGCUUUUGUGGAGCGAUGGGUAACGAUGGGCGACUGUUGUUGAUGUGUGCAGAGGGUCCCUGGUUCGCGCCCGUGUCGGGGCGAGGGGACGGUUUAAAGUUAUACUGUUACAAGUGCAUAAACAUAAAUCCUAACAACCUGUCCCCAAAUUAAUAUAAUUGGUUCAGAGUUUGUUUUGGUAUUUCAUUGUGUGUAGCCUGGUCGUAUCUAGGGUGGGGGUACAAAAUCAACAUGCGCGCGUCCGGUUUGGGCAGCAUGUUAGACCCUGCAGCUGUCUGGUUUAAAUUAACUAAAACAAAAGUGGGAAAACUUAGGGGACAUCCCAGCAUGGACCAGGAAAUUCCAGUAUGAUGUAAUUGCAAUUCUGGGUGUUUCUUGGCAAAGGGUUAGGUUUCUGUACAGCACUUUGAGAUAUCAGCUGAUGUAAGAAGGGCUUUUUAAAUACAUUUGAUUUGAGUUUAGCUAAAUGCUACAGUUGUCAACAGCUGUUGUCCCCUGGCACAAAAUACAUGGCCAAAUCAAAUUGUAUUACUCACAUGCGCCGAAUACAACAGGUGUAGACCUUACAGUGAAAUGCUUACUUACGAGCCCCGUAACCAAAAUGCAGUUAAAAAAAAUUCAGUUAAGAAUAAGAUAUAAAAGGAUCAAGUAAUUAAAGAGCAGCAGUGAAAUAACAAUAGCGAGACUAUAUACAUGCGGGUACUGAUACAGAGUCAAUGUGCGGGGGCACCAGUUAUUUGAGGUAGUAUGUACAUGUAGGUAGAGUUAUUAAAGUGACUAUGCAUAGAUGACGACAGAGAGUAGCAGUGGUGUAAAUGGGGGGGGCACUGCAAAUAGUCUGAAAAUGGGUAGUGUUAGGGUUCGUUCCUUACGUCCUUCUUUGUCAAUUAUUCUAAUACACCAAACAUUUGUACAGCCCCAAUCAUGACCCCUAGGUAAAUCCUAACAGUAGCCAUUUGACUAAAUGGAAGAAUGCACUUUUACAUUUUUAUUUUAUUUAACCUUGCAGACUAUUGCGACGAUAGAGGGAGCCACCAACAUCCACCAGGUAAGAACGUGGUGCAACUCUCUGUAGGCAUGUGCCCAGCCUCCAAAGUCCUGUGUGGUCUCCCGGCAGCGGUUUCAUCCUUAUAGUUUCACCCACCUCCAGCUCUGGUAGGUCUCGAGCAGUCAGGUCGUAGAAGCACUUAGCGAGCUGCUUUCUGUGACGCAGUUUCUCCGUGACGCCAACCAUGACGCAGGGCUCAAGUAGCUUGUUAGCUACGGGGAUAGUAGUCUUCAGACGUCUGGACAAAAGGCGUUGUGCUGGGCUGCUGUCCAUGUUUUCGGUGGGUGUGUUCCUCCACUGUAAGAUCGCUUUCCAUGGGUCGUUGCUGUCGCGCAUGGCCCUGCUUAACAGGUUUUUUUGCAAUCUUGACAGCUGAUUCUGCCUUGCCAUUUGCUUUUGGGUGUCUUGGAGAGGAGGUCACGUGGUCAAACUCCCAUUCUGAGGGGAAACGCUUGAACUGUGCAGUUGGAUAAAGGAAUAAAGACAGACACCAAUGUCAAGUUCAACAGCCUUGUUAAGCAUUGUACAAAUCCCUACGCGUGGAGUCUGGGGAACAGUCCAGCUAGUCGAUUACCUACGAAGAGGAGUACCGUUACAGAACUUCCCACCAACCAAGGACCAAGCAGCGUGGUAACCAGGAGCAGAGGGUUCUGGACUCCUGGAUUUGGUAGGAGAUACUAGGCGGUAAGGGACCCUGGCCACAGGCUGGGGAAUAUUGACGCACCAAGGAAGAACUGGAGGCAGCGAAAGCUGAGCGGCGGCGCUAUGAGGUAAGGCAGCGCAACAGGCACGAGAAGCAGCCCCCCCAAUUUUUUGGGGGGUGGCACACGGGAAGAUUGGCGGAGUGUGCCUUUCCAAAUCAUGUCCAAUCAAUUGAAUUUACCACAGGAUGAGCCUGAGCUUAAUUUCAAGUCUCAGAGCAAAGGGUCUGGGUACUUAUGUAAAUAAGGUAUUUCUGAUAUUAUUUUUAAUACAUUUGCAAAAAUGUCUAUAAAACCUGUUUUUGCUUUUUUGUUAUGGGGUAUUGUGUAUAGAUGAGUAUUUUUUGUUAAAUUUAAGUCAUUUCAGAAUAAGGUUGUGUCGUGUCUUUGGCUAUGCCGGAUUAAGUGAUAUGAGGUAAUUAAUAUUACCUGAUUGAGCUAAUCAUGUAAAUGCAAUUAUCUAAAAAGUCGGGGCACCGCGAAAGAAUAUUCAUAGAGCUGUUAUCUUCCGAAUAAACUCUAAAGACCUAGUAAUAUUUUACAUCAAUAGCAGUCAAUAUUAAUCGUCACCUUAUUUGUCUCAUCUGAAAGUUGUAAAUUCUUGGUUAUCUUCACGAACCCUGGCUAACAAGUUGAAUCAGCAAUACAAAAUUGGGUUUAAUUAUUUAUUUACUAAAUACCUAACUAAUCUCACAGAAUUACAUAUACACAGAAUGAAUCAUACCUUGAUUAUAAAUUACGUCAUAAAGGAAAACGUCCCUAGCAAACGGAACAGAUAUGACAGCUGGUUACACAAAGAAAAGGGGGAUUGGUUGGAGUGAAAGAGCGAGAAGAAGAACAAAGGGAGAAGCGAUGUCUCUAUCGCAAAUACAGCAUCUUAUGCAUUCUAAAUUACCGCCCAUUUGGAAAAGGAAAAUGCAAUAAAUAUUUACUCUGAGCUGCGCUUCGGUAGGUUGGUGGUAGAUGGAAGGCCGUGUUGCCCAACCGAGUCCUUUGAAGAAUGUCUCUGGUGGUAAAUUGAAUACGUUGUAGUAACGUUGUUGUGUGGUAGACGGGAUACUCUGUCUGUUCUUUCCUAGCCCACAUUUGCAGCUGCUGUUGCUAAAUCAACGGCUAGCAGGUAUCACUUAUGUAGUGAAUAAGAGUUCAAAGUUCAUAACAUUCGCAACCAAAGCUCACGCUGAGGUUGGCUUAGUUCUGUAGUUGACAUGUUAGUCCUUUUAACGCAGAGGCUGCAGACCUCACGUACUUGUAACAGAAGGUUACAUUUUCGUCAAGGCUUUAUAUAGGAAGGGAGAAGAGGGCGUGUUUGAAAAGUUUUAUAACCCAUGUCUCUUCACAGGGGCGGGCCACUGAUUGAGCAGAGCCCAAACCUUAUGAAAACCCACAUCUCUCAUUUGGAAGCUAAAAUUACAUUUAAUCUCUUCACAAAUAAUUUUAUAUUCAAACAUUUAAAUUGAACAACAAUUCCAUGUGACUCCGAUAACUACAAUGUGCAGACUUUCCACUGUAGAGUUUAUGUCAUCCUAUCAUUGAGGAGAAUGUCUCAGAUGACAACCAAACUGACAUCAUAUUCAUUAAGUACCAUCGCAUAUGUUCGAUUGGUCGGAUUACCAGAAUAUAGUUAAUUUCCCCCCACCUUCUGAUGUUCCCAGAAUCUCUAUGUUAACCAAAUGAUUUUCAAAUGUCACAUCAGUAGGGUAGAGAGAGGAAAAGAGGGGGAGAGGUAUUUAUGACUGUCAUAAACCUACCCCCAGGCCAACAUCAUGACAGUUGUAACGUAACAUAAUGUGGAAAAGGGGAAGGGGUCUGAAUACUUUCCGAAUGCACUGUAGCUUAGUAAACCGCCCCUUAUUCAAUGCACAAAAAUGUAAGAGGGUAAUUCUACCCCAAUGCAUACUGAGUGUUGGAGUGAGUGUUGGAGUGUGACCCUGGAGUGUGACCCUGGCUAGCAGUAAAAAAAUAUAUAAUACAAAAUCUUGUUGUCUGGUUUGCUUCAAUAGGGAAUGUGAAAUUAUUUAAACUUUUACUUUUGAUACUUAAGUAUAUUUUAAACCAAAUACUUUUAAUCAAGUAGUAUUUUACUGGGUGACAUUCAUUUUUACUUCAGUCAUUUUCUAUUAAAAGGCAUCUUUACUUGUAUGACAAUUGGCUACUCAAAGAUCCUACCCUCAAGACAUGCUAACCCCUCACCAGUACCAAUAACAGGGGAGGUUAGCAUGUCUUGGGGGUAUGUUCUUUGACCCUCUGUAACUUUCUCACUCAUAACAACCAUAAUAAUGUAUGAAGUGUGCAGUUUACCUUGUCUUCCUGACUGGACGUUAGAAGUGAACAAACCGAGACUCAAAAACAGCAGAAGCAUUUUGCCAUGUGUCCUAAAGCACAAAGAACAAAUACCACAAAACAUGAAUAGCUUAUACAUGAACGUACAUUAACCUACAUCAGAUUGGACAUAGGCCUAGUGCUUGAAUCAUACAGUCUAUGUCUUGAAGGGACUGGAAUUAACCACAGCCCUGAUCUGUAGUCGUGGCAACAGUGGAGUUGUAGUGAUAAUUAAGAACAGGUCAGGAUAAAUUCUGGGUGAAUCUGAAUAGUUUUAAAGUCCCACUCAAGGAGUUUUUUUAUUACUUUUCCCGUUGAAAGACAAUAUCCCAAGUAUAAAUACAGUAAUAUACACACACGUAAGCCUUAAAAUAGACAUUGAGCAAAAUAGAGCUUUUUAGACUGAACUCAAUGAGUUAAAAAAUACUUUGGCUUUAUAAAAUGGGUAUGAGAGGGUCUGAUUUGCAACCUGGAGCUCACCUGCCCCGAAACUCCUCCCCCCUGCAUGCAAUCUGCAAAGCCUGAACUUAUCCACACUACACCAAAAGGAUUUUUACAUAUAUGCAUUUUCCUUUCUCCACAGCCUUAGUAGGCCUACCAAAGAAACACCCAGAGUUCAGCUGAAUUCACCAUCUAACAGAGACUGUCAUUAGCGCUGAGGAAAACAAAAUAACCUUCUGAGAUUGAGUCCCUGACAGUAACCAUGAGAUGUCCGUCGAGGUGACGUGACUAACAAAUCCUGACACGCGUGUCUUAAGGGCAGACACUCACUCACUCACUCACUCGCUCGCUCGCUCACUCACUCACUCACUCACUCACUCACUCACUCACUCACUCACUCACUCACUCACUCACUCACUCACUCACUCACAAUAAUCUAAGUAGAUAAGUUACUGUACUUACAAGCUUACAGCCUCUGAAUGUUCUGCCAUCAAAUAAAGUUGUAUAGUGCAGUGUCCCAGAAAAUAACUGUGGGAAAAGAUUCAGUGGAGACAGUGGAUAGCCCUUUCACAACCUCUAACCUACUUGAUGUAAUCUGUGGAGAAGUCAUGUCACACAUUCUCUCACUCUCUCUGUUCUGUACAUCUCCCCGACAGUCCUAAUAUGGGCACUGAGGGAGGACAAAGCUACAGUGAAUUUACUUCCACCAAUGGUUUUUUCCCUGGACUUUUUCUUAGGCUGAGCUAAGUUUUCCUGACAGGAAAGAACCCCAGACUAAAGUGGAGUUUCCAGAGGUGAAAGAGACCCAGACUACACUACUAAAAUGCAAUGUUUACAUCACUUUACUUUUGUCAGAACAGAGGUGUAUGAUUUGAUGUGGAUGAUUUUCCAUACAUUUUCUCAAUUCUAGGAUCUAGAUUCUAUAGCAUUCGAGAGAGAGCGAGAUAUUCCCCGUCUGAUUUCAGAAUGAAUUCAAAUCAGACUGAUUUCCAGGUUAGAAUUGUUUUAAUAGCCAACAUGUGUGACAAUAUCAUCAUAGUUUAAAAACAUUUUUAUUUUAAAGGGGCAGUCUGCAAUUGGUACAUCCAUUAUUGGCCUUGUAAAUGAUUGAUACCUACCCAAUAAUUCUUGAAGAAUAUAACUUAUAAAUGCCUCAUCAGCUUAGUUCAACUGUCACACCCCAUCAGAACCCCAAAUAUGUUGUUUUAUUCCUUUGUUUGGAAACAAAGUAAAUGUAAACUAACUCUAUAUUGCCUCAAAACAUGGUUAAAACUAUAAUUGUUGUAUCAUGAGUGGUCAGCCCUUAUAUCCAUAGUUGAUCUAGGAUUUUGAGAGUGGUUCAAUUUCUCCAUCCCCAUUCCUCAUCUGUUUACCAAAUCAAUUGUUAUUGUCUGAACUGCAGAUUACCCCUUUUAAAAAACAACUUGGUCUUCCUUGUUUGAACAUGAACGAAACACAACACAACUUAAACGUGUUUUGUAUCGCUUUGAAGAGCUAGCUACACUAAAUAGCCUGAAUCAGGAGUUGUGGCCUGUACAGGUAUAACUCAUGGCCCUGAUUAUACACUCACCAGACAGUUUAUUAGGUACACCCAUCUAGUACCUGAUCGGACCACUCUUUGCCUCCAGAACAGUCUGAAUUCUUGGGGCAAGGAUUCUACAAGUCAAAAACUUUCCUCAGGGAUGUUGGUUCAUGCUGAAGCGAUAUCAUCGUGCAGCUGUUGCAGAUUGGGUGGCAGUGAAACCAUGCCCCCAAGAAUUCAGACAGUUCUUGGGGUAAAGAGGGGUCCGAUCCAGUACUAGAUAGCUGUACCGUUGACACCAGGCAGGUUGAGUCCAUGGAUUCAUGCUGUUUAUGCCAAUUCCUGAUUUCCAUUAGCAUGACACAAGAGGAACCUGGAUUUGUUAAACCAGGCAAUGUUUUUCAACUAACUGUUUUCACCCACAGGACUGCCGCUGACUGGAUGUUUUUGUUUGUCGCACCAUUCUCGGGAAACCCUAGACCAGGAGUCUCCAACCUUUACUAGCAUGACACUCUAGACCAGGAGUCUCCAACCUUUACUAGCAUGACACUCUAGACCAGGAGUCUCCAACCUUUACUAGCAUGACACUCUAGACCAGGAGUCUCCAACCUUUACUAGCAUGACACUCUAGACCAGGGGUCUCCAACCUUUACUAGCAUGACACCCUAGACCAGGAGUCUCCAACCUUUACUAGCAUGACACUCUAGACCAGGGGUCUCCAACCUUUACUAGCAUGACACCCUAGACCAGGAGUCUCCAACCUUUACUAGCAUGACACCGUAGACCAGGAGUCUCCAACCUUUUCUAGCAUGACACCCUAGACCAGGAGUCUCCAACCUUUUCUAGCAUGACACCCUAGACCAGGAGUCUCCAACCUUUUCUAGCAUGACACCCUAGACCAGGAGUCUCCAACCUUUACUAGCAUGACACACUAGACCAGGAGUCUCCAACCUUUUCUAGCAUGACACCGUAGACCAGGAGUCUCCAACCUUUACUAGCAUGACACCCUAGACCAGGAGUCUCCCACCUUUUCUAGCAUGACACCGUAGACCAGGAGUCUCCAACCUUUUCUAGCAUGACACACUAGACCAGGAGUCUCCAACCUUUUCUAGCAUGACACCGUAGACCAGGAGUCUCCAACCUUUUCUAGCAUGACACACUAGACCAGGAGUCUCCAACCUUUUCUAGCAUGACACCGUAGACCAGGGGUCUCCAACCUUUACUAGCAUGACACCCUAGACCAGGAGUCUCCAACCUUUUCUAGCAUGACACCCUAGACCAGGGGUCUCCAACCUUUACUAGCAUGACACCCUAGACCAGGGGUCUCCAACCUUUACUAGCAUGACACCCUAGACCAGGGGUCUCCAACCUUUUCUAGCAUGACACCCUAGACCAGGGGUCUCCAACCUUUACUAGCAUGACACCCUAGACCAGGGGUCUCCAACCUUUUCUAGCAUGACACCCUACACCAGGGGUCUCCAACCUUUACUAGCAUGACACCCUAGACCAGGGCUCUCCAACCAUUUCUAGCAUGACACCCUAGACCAGGGCUCUCCAACCAUUUUUAGCAUGAGAGCUUCUUGAAAAAAAUGAAAUAUGUUGCUAGUGACUCAUUUUUUUCUAGAUUUCAAAUAGUUACAUUAUUCUCUUAUCCUCUCCCCUGCAACUCUUCCCUGGGUCCUUAGUGUACAAGAGAAAGUAGUGCACUGUUUUCUGUCAAUAUACCUGUUUAAAUAAUGGUUAAUCAAAUCUGAGGUCGGCCCAUUUUAAAUAUGUGAUUUCUUCCCAAAUCAUUUUUUCUUCGUUUUAUUCUUCCUGGUUUUAGAUUUUUUGUUUGUUUUUCACUCUCAAAAUUACAGUUGUUCAUUGAGAAACUUCACACUUAGAUGUUCUGAGUCCAUGUCAAUACUUUAGCUGUGUGAACUGCCUGUCUGGAGCUGCUACACUGUGUUGAUUAGAACAGGGUGACCGUUCAGGUGGAGAUGAAAAUCCCGAGCCAAAGUUACCACUGCAGACCCGGAGUAGUGGUCCAGAAGGAGAAGUUGGUUGAAAGAAAAGCGAAGUAAAAGGUCAAGAUGAUGGAGGGAAUCUGUUCCUCUCUCUCGAGCUGGAAUGGGGGAAAAUGUGCACUACUUGCUGGAAGCAUGAAUCACGAUGUGAGUCAUGUGUCCAAAAUUGGAAUUAACAGUCCCCUGGGGCCCUUUGGUAAAUAUGCAAAUAGAUUUUAUUCACAAGCCUGCCUGUAACAGGAAAAAAGAUAUGUUGGUAAUGGAUGACAGUUACUCCAAAUGAAUUGAAGUUUUCCCCACUUCGAGUGAUAUAUGUGUAUUACUGUUGUUGUGUUGUUUUGUUUGUUUUUGUCAUGCUUCUAUACCAAGUCUCACCAGAUUUGGAUUAUCCCUCUGACUCCCUGACCUGUAACUCUGCAGUGAGAUCGCCAAAUGAUAGGGGAGUAUACGCCAAUUUGGGGGAGAGAAUGGUUUCAACUGUGUUUUGUUAUUGUUUUAGAAGUCUGGAUUUCCUGAAUUGUUCUGGUCUGUCCUCUCUCGAGGUGACGGAGAAGGUGACCACAGAUGGUAUCUAGAUGCAUGGAAGAUCAUUUGGCUGAGAGCAGGACAGUGUGAACUUCAACAUCCCCUCUAACUGGCUGAAAAUGGCGAAGAUGUUGUUCAGGGUGUGACAUGGGUCCAUGUGGAGUGAGCACGGAGAGAGAUCCAGUCCAAACUUCUCUCAUGCUGCUGGUGUACUGGUAGGAAAAUGGACAAGACAUAAUGGACUGUAAAGGACAGUGGCGCCUCAGGCGAGAGACAUUAUCAAGGGCCAUCCACUUUGAACAUGUGCCGUUGAAAGGA
Long non-coding RNA from Salvelinus fontinalis (brook trout), 9646 nucleotides. RefSeq lists it as uncharacterized. The record is from RefSeq and is a predicted model, not a curated record. The transcript has 4 exons. Lineage: Eukaryota; Metazoa; Chordata; Actinopteri; Salmoniformes; Salmonidae.